Molecule: long non-coding RNA, 1298 nt
Filed under: Cricetulus griseus (Chinese hamster)
Lineage: Eukaryota; Metazoa; Chordata; Mammalia; Rodentia; Cricetidae
Description: lncRNA (ENSCGRG00015033233.1)
Source: RNAcentral
GUAAGAAGUGAUAAAGCCCUUGGUGCUGGGAGAUAAAGCCCUUGGUGCUGGGAAGUCAUGGUGGCAGGAGUGGGGGGCAGCUGGUCAUAUUUCAUGUUCAGUCAGGAAGCAGGGCGGGAGGGAGGGAGGGAGGGGUGGGCGCCGGAGUCCGGCUUGAUCUCUCCUGUUUAUGAAGCGGUGUUAACCACGUUCAGCAUGGAGCCGCUCCUCCUCACAGGUGGGUUUGUGCACGUGAGUGCGGUAGUCGUGGAGGCCAGAGGGUGGCAGAUCCACUAGAGCUUGAGCCACCCAGUGUGGGUGCUGGGUGCUGGGUGCUGGGUGCUGAACCCCUCUGAGCUUCGGCGGCCUCUCUCUGACUUCUGUACGAAAGGUUUCCUCUCUCAAAGAAAAGUUAACUUUGAUAAAACCGCCAGCGUUUAUUAAAACUGCACAGUAGAUCCCCAUGUCUACAACCUUGGUUGUGCAGGGCUUUGAGCAGCCACCUUCAUCUGAUCAGCUGUGUCUACUUGUGAUCGUCCCAGCUGGGGCUUGUUGAAGGCCGCCUCCCUCACAGAAAGAGGGGAGGGUCGGGACCCCUACCCAAGCAUCCAGUAACUUCUUCUUGCCAGCUAUCUGCAAUUCUGCCCUAAUGCCCCCGGGACCUGGGGGAAGGGGCCUGAGGAUAUAGGCGUGGAAGAACUAGAGAGCCGACCAGAUCCACUCAGGCUUCGGGGGUGUCAUCCACGCUGGGCACAGACCUUCCACGGUGGCUGCUUCAAGGUCACCCACGCUCCUGCCCUUCAGCCAUGCUCCGUGACCCUACUCGGACACCCCUUGGGGGAGGGGGUGAGAAGACGCAGCAGCACCAACGACUCAGGCACUGGGAGUCGAUACCCACGGCUAAUCACUGAACUGAACUGGAAUCCAGAUGCAGAAAAGGAAGAGUGAAGAGUAAAGGGGUCCAGACCAGGCUGGUGAAACCCACAGAAACAGCUGACCUGAACACCGGGGAACUCUUGCUCCCCAGACUGAUAGCUGGGAAACCAGCAUGGGACUGAUCCAGACCCCAGGAACAUGGGUUUCAGUGAGGAAACCUUAGAAAUCUAUGGACCUCCUGUAGUAGUUCAGUACUUAUCCCUAGCAUAGGUGUGGACUUUGGGAGCCCAUUCCACAUAGAGGAAUACUCCCUGAGCCAAGACACAUGGGGGUGGGCCUAGGCCCCAUCCCAAAGGAUACGACAGACUCUGAUGACACCCUAUGGAAGGCCUCACCAACCAGGGGGAGCAGAAAGAUAUGUGAUAGGUAGGGUUUUAGUUGGG